This is an RNA transcript of Solanum dulcamara, 1583 nucleotides long. RefSeq lists it as uncharacterized. The transcript is spliced from 4 exons. Lineage: Eukaryota; Viridiplantae; Streptophyta; Magnoliopsida; Solanales; Solanaceae. The record is from RefSeq and is a predicted model, not a curated record.
UAAUUAACUCUUUUUGAAAAUGGAGAAGCUAAUUAGUAGUAGUACUGUUUUGCUAUCUUUGGUCCUCUUCAUCACCGUAGCCGCAGUUGCCAACGCACAGCAGUGUGGGAGGCAAAAGGGCGGAGCGUUAUGUGGGGGGAACUUGUGUUGCAGCCAAUUCGGGUGGUGUGGAUCGACAGCGGAAUAUUGUUCACCUAGCCAAGGCUGCCAGAGUCGCUGCAGUGGCAGUGGAUCAACCCCAACUCCAAGUGGUAGCGCGCAAAACGUUCGUGCAACGUAUCAUUUAUAUAACCCGCAGAAUGUUGGGUGGGACUUGAAUGCCGUUAGUGCUUACUGUUCAACUUGGGAUGCUAAUAAGCCUUUGGCCUGGCGGAAGAAAUAUGGUUGGACUGCUUUCUGUGGUCCAGUCGGACCUCGUGGUCGAGACUCAUGCGGAAGGUGCUUAAGGGUGACAAAUACACGUACAGGAGCUCAGACAACAGUGAGAAUCGUGGAUCAAUGCAGCAACGGCGGACUAGACUUAGACGUUAACGUUUUCCGGCAGAUCGAUACAGACGGAAUUGGAAAUCAACAAGGCCAUCUUAUUGUGAACUACCAGUUUGUUGAUUGUGGUGAUAAUUAAUCUGAAUCAUCAAAUAAAUCAUAGUAUAGCAACUGUUUUGAAAAUGGAGAAGCUAAGUAGUAGUACUAUUUUACUAGCUGUGGUCCUCUUCAUUAGCAUAGGCGCAGUUGCUAACGCACAGCAGUGCGGAAGGCAAAGGGGCGGAGCGUUAUGUGGGGGGAAUUUGUGUUGCAGCCAAUUCGGAUGGUGUGGAUCGACACCGGAAUAUUGUUCACCUAGCCAAGGUUGCCAGAGCCAGUGUAGUGGAAGUGGACCAAUUCCAACUCCAGGGGGCAGCGCGCAAAACGUUCGUGCAACAUAUCAUUUAUAUAACCCGCAGAAUGUUGGGUGGGACUUGAAUGCGGUUAGUGCUUACUGUUCAACUUGGGAUGCAAAUAAGCCUUUGGCCUGGCGGAGGAAGUAUGGUUGGACUGCUUUUUGUGGUCCAGUCGGACCUCGUGGCCAAGCCUCAUGCGGCAAGUGCUUAAGAGUGACAAAUACACGCACCGGAGCUCAGACGACGGUGAGAAUCGUGGAUCAAUGCAGUAACGGGGGACUAGAUUUAGACAUUAACGUUUUCCGACAAAUCGACACAGAUGGAUUAGGAAAUCAACAAGGUCACCUUAUUGUGAAUUACGAAUUUGUUGACUGUGGUGACAAUGUGAAUGUUCCUCUAAUUAUGUCUGUAGUUGACAAAGAAUAAAAAGCAGCUACGUGGUUGAUCAAUUUAGUCUGAUGAUUGUAUAAAAGUCAUCUUUGACCAUUCAAAUAAAAAUAAAAGAAAAAAAUGAAAGAAAAAAUAAAGGUUACUUUUAAGGGGUUAAGCUAUUCCAUAUGAUCUGUUGAUCAUCAUGAAUUUGUUCAUGUAAGAAAGAAUGAGAUGAAGUGUGUAUUGUCUUUGUGAUCAUUUUGUGUACUCGAUUAUUUUGAAUUUUAAAUACAAAAUUCCAACAACUCUUGUUUGGGAAUUGAGUUGGGACAA